UAUAAUUUAAAGUAGGGCCUGCCCACUGAGUAUUUGAAGGGCCGCAGUAUUUUGACUGUGCAAAGGUAGCAUAAUCAUUAGUUUUUUAAUUGAAAGCUUGUAUGAAUGGUUUGAUGAGAAAAUAACUUUCUAUAUUUAAUUUAUUAAAAAUUUUAUUUUUAAGUUAAAAAGCUUAAAUAUUUUUAAUAGACGAGAAGACCCUAUAGAGUUUAAUUUUGAUAAGAUUUUUAAUUUAUAGAAUUUUAUAAUUAUAAUUUUUAUUAAAAUUUGAUUGGGGUGAUUAAAAAAUUAAAGUAACUUUUUUUAAAUUUAUACAUAAAUUUAUG
Molecule: ribosomal RNA, 326 nt
Filed under: Calvia muiri
Lineage: Eukaryota; Metazoa; Arthropoda; Insecta; Coleoptera; Coccinellidae
Description: partial 16S ribosomal RNA
Source: RNAcentral